This 253-nucleotide ribosomal RNA is filed under the name uncultured bacterium. RNAcentral's name for it is "partial 16S ribosomal RNA". It matches the Rfam family "Archaeal small subunit ribosomal RNA", at positions 474 to 727 of the family's 1478-position model. The record is from RNAcentral.
UACCAGCACCCCGAGUGGUCGGGACGAUUAUUGGGCCUAAAGCAUCCGUAGCCGGUUUUACAAGUCCUCCGUUAAAUCCACCUGCUUAACAGAUGGGCUGCGGAGGAUACUAUGGAGCUAGGAGGCGGGAGAGGCAAGCGGUACUUAGUGGGUAGGGGUAAAAUCCGUUGAUCCAUUGAAGACCACCAGUGGCGAAGGCGGCUUGCCAGAGCGCACUCGACGGUGAGGGAUGAAAGCUGGGGGAGCAAACCGG